Bubalus bubalis (water buffalo) is the source of this 7268-nucleotide long non-coding RNA. RefSeq lists it as uncharacterized. The transcript is spliced from 2 exons. The record is from RefSeq and is a predicted model, not a curated record. NCBI's taxonomy places the organism in Eukaryota, Metazoa, Chordata, Mammalia, Artiodactyla, Bovidae.
CCUGUUGCUGCAGGGCAGAGAGGAGAGACAAGAACGAGCACGUGAGAAGAGAGGUGGCGGGGGCUGUCCUUCACAGGGAGUGCCUCCUUCACUGGGAGCGCCCUCCCCACCUGCUUCGGAGGCCGCUGGAGCUCAGCAGCAGCUGCGAACCCAGAGGUAUGGUGGGGCCGUCCUGGGACAGCGUCAUGGACUCCGCCUGGAGCACCGGUGUGACUUUUCACACCUCACGUGGGAAAAGGCUUUGAACACAACAUGCCUCUCAGCUCGUUGCAUCACGUGCCUCUGCUGACAAUGCAAGCAGGGUGGGAUCCUUGCCAACCGGCAGGAAGAAACCCGUCCAACCUCCUGACUGUGCAACGCAUGAUGUCAUGUGACACCAAGAUGUUUUUACGAGACUUCUGUCUGAGCUAAACCUGACGCUGUCUCGUGGCCCAGCGGGUGGAAAGCCAAGCAGGCCCAGCGCCAGCUGUGUUCUUGUUCUUUGCCCAUGGUGCUGCGAGGGGAAGGCUUUGGACGCAGUGUGCAAACAUGAGGCACGCAUGUAUACACACGUUCCCCGCUGUACACACGUGCCUCCUGCAGACACGAGACACAAAUCUGUGAGUUGGUCAGGAUCCUGGAGACCUUUCUAUGAAUGUCACAUCCUGCCCGUACCUGCGGGGGGACAGCAGCUUGAGGGUCCAUGUCCUCACAGCCUACUUCUAAAUGCACGUCGUAAUGAGUGCCAUUGAUCACUUCCGACUGACCUUUUGAGUAACAGCUGGCGCUGUGGCUGGGGAUGUGUGUGCCGAUGGGGCACCAUAUCACCCGGCUGACAGGAUGCUGUCAGGGAGGCUGGGAGGAGGGCAAGAAAUCACUUUGCUUUGCGAGCCAUAAUUAAAAAUAAUAGGCUGGUGCUCGUAGGGAGACAUGGUUGGCACGGCUCUAAUGUAAAACCAAUACAGUUUAUCUGGCAUCUUCUGAUUAUUUAUGUGCACCACAGCCCUUGCCGCAUCAACUAAUUAUCAGGUGGGGGGGGAGGCAGAGGAGAAUCAGAGAAAGAUAACGGGCAAUAAGGUCACCAUUAGGAAAACACUGAAGCCCUCUGCAGGAGGGUGAAGCGCGUUCCUGCCACUGGAAAGCUGACCCUCUCCUGCCUCUUACAGACUUCACACCGGGCCCCAGCAGAGUGCUCGGGGGAGAACCUCCCCCCCCCCGCCACGCCUUGGUUUGUGUGUCUAUGGUUAUGCCCAUAAUCACCGGGAGCCCAGGGAAUUCUGAGAAGUGAGGUCUCGGGGUGUUUACCGUUUGAGGAAAGUACUGUGAAACAGACUUGGUUGUUUUGAAGCGGAUGGUACUUACUGAAUUUGUCUGAAAACCAAGAAGCCAAAUAUACAAGUGACAUGCUUGUUAGGGAGGUGGGUGGUGUGGCGUGGGAACGAGAUGAACGAGAUGGAGACGUGAGUUCUGACCCUGGGGCCGUCCACUGCGCUGGACGAGACCCACGGAUCCAAAGUUUGAACCCCCGGCGUGACCUGAACCAAAUGGGCAUCGGCUGGUUGUCCCCCAACCCUCUCAGCCACGCCCAUUCCCCAGACAGCCAGCUGUGUGCUUGGAUUCAGUUACUUCUUUUCAGAUUGAUUUUGUGCGGCCCAGGUCUAAUGAACCCAAGUCCACAUCACUCUGAUUCCCUUUCGCUGAGCUGUUAUUCCUAGUAACCCUUAGCUUAGCAUCUGGCACGUUUAUCUAACCAAGUUCAAGUGGCUCAUCUGAGUCCCCCUGUACCCCGUGUGGGGCAAAGGGCAGCGGGGUGUCCUCUAGAGACGGAUGGAAGACUUGAAGGGCUCGUCCCGCCCGUCCAGGCCAACUACCACCUCGGCCUUGAUUCUCAGAAUGCUGCUGCUGGGUGGAGAUGGUGCUCAGGAAUAUUCUGGACAUGUGUCUUAGGUUUCCGUUGUACUCUGCAAAUCCCAAACCCACCGAAGAGCAGUCAGGGGGUUUGUCAUGAGCUCCCAAGUAGCGAGAGAGUCUGCUCACCCCAAGAUCCAGACCCCCCCACCCCGCCCCAGAGUGGCUAUAAUAUCAGCAUUCAUACAUCGCAACAAACUGGCCUUUCACAAGCUCCACCAGCCCUGACAAAGGAUCAAAGGUGGCCCCUUGGGAAGGCAACAGACGGAAUUCUUCCAAACCCAAUGCAAUCUUGCGCCACUCUGACCUUCUAAAAUGCUAUCAUGGUGCACUCUCGCGUUGUCGGAAUGGUAUUUUUGCAGAGAAAUUCGGCACUUAGACUGAUUCAGAAUCAAGCUGAUGAGGGAGCUGGGGGCACACGCAUUUUCCCCCCAUGGAAUCUGAAAGCACUGAAGCUGGCCUCAUUUCGUGUAAACCUCCACUUGGCUACCACGCCGAAAACCAUAAAUCUUAGAAACACCCAAUCUUUCAUCAAAGAUUGGGUGGCUUCGAGGCCUUUGCCACUCAGCUCCGAGUGGUACGCAAGUUAGAUCUCGUCACCGCCGGUGCCGGUUCUGUGCGAGAAGCCAGUACCGCAGGGCACCUGAAAGCGAAGACCAGCUUCUCCCCUCCGAAGACCAACUGUGCACGCCUGGCAGAGACCGGGCGGCAAAGGGGUGACCCUGACGGCAGCACCCGGGGUCCAUCUUUGUACGGUCGGAGGCAAUGACGCUGCAACAACAAGCGCUAAUUGCCGGCUCGUUGGCGGUUUGGCCUGCCGACGCUCAAGAGCCGGGAGCCACAUUAGGAAAGCUCAUUAGGAGAUAAGCCGGCGUGGCUGCUACAAGAGAAAACGGUUUUAAACUGAUAGAAGAAAAAUUUUUAAAGCGCCCUCUCAUCACCGUCAGACGACUUUCUUGCCACUUUGUAGAGGGCGGGGGGACAUCAGCACAUAAUUCAGAGAAGAUGAAAGCGCCCCAUGAAGGAGACGAUGUUAACAACUCUGUGAUGAAAUAUCUGAGGCUGUGCCUUGCUUCCUUUCACCACUGCUUGCUGAUCCGCUGUGAUAAGAUAAUAGCAGUAUCUUGACAUACAAACGUGGGCUGGGGCGGGGGUUCCUCUUGGUGAUUUUAAGAACAGUUUAUGGGGAGUCUGAGCCCUGGGGCGCAGCAAGUCUGUCCUGCACCAGGGGUAGAGAGGGAGGGUGUGGAUCACUGCGGGGGGGUGGGGGGGUGGGCGCGGGGUGGGGGGCUGAGGAUUUCUGGGAAGCUGGGAGAAUCUUUAAUCACGCCUAAAUGCCAUUUCUGAUUCAGUCAAACGUCUGCGAGCUGCCUGAGGAGAACGACACCAUCCAUCUCUAUAGCGUAUGUAAAAUCACCCGGGAUUCUUGUUUGGGAUUUUUAAGAGUAUCUGGGUAAUGAGGGUUCAUCAUUCUCUUUCAGAAAUCAGUUGUCAGCUGAGCGGCACCGUCUCCAACUACAGAAAGGUGGGAUUUAGACAGCGGUUUGCUAUUUGUUUAUUGUUGGGGCCUUGAGAUCUAAACUAUCCAUCCUCCCCAAGCCCUUGGCUGGGAUGAAUCUGUUGAAGUAGCCGCUUUUCAUCCACAGUUGUUUGAUAACCACUAGCCAUCAGUUUGCAGCCAUCAGCACGGAAUACAGAUGAAUAUUGACUCUUUGAAAGAGAAAGUUAUGGGAGUUUCAGAUCGACAAUCCAGGCUUAAAGAAAACCUCCCACAAAGUAGUAUUUGUGAUGCGUUGGUAGGUUCCCUAAUAUAGCUCACGUUUUGAUAAGGACACGUUACAGCAUUAUGCUUCGUUUUCAGGUUUCUCUAGUUUUAUAAUGCAUGCUUCUUUUUUUUUUAAAAAAAAAAAAGAAUAGAUAUCUGUCUUAAAACAGAUUUAACUCUGAGACAUAAAAAAGCAGACGCACUGUCAUGGGUGUCCGUGUGGUCAGUGGUUUUGAGAGCAGGCAGGGGUCCCACAGCUGCUUCCCCAGGACAGAGGCAGGACCGGGGACCCACGGCGGGGGAAGGAGCGGUCCUUCUGGGCGGGUGCUGAGGAGGCGCUGGGUUCCCGGGACAGAGGACCUUGCCAGCGCCACAGAGGAGGAGACGGGUGCCUCUCUGAACUCCCAAAGCUUCCCCCCGUUGCUCAUCUGCGGUCUGUGGGGCCGCAGUGUUUGCUAACUUCCCCAGGGCACGAGCCGUCGCGCUCCCGUGAGUACGGCGAGUCCUGCACCACGCAGCGCGGUGGAUGUGGGGCAGCGGACACAGGGGUCCGGUGGGACACCCCGUCUCCCAGGUGUUGCUUAGUCGCUCAGUCAUGUCCAACUCUUUGAGACCCUACGGACUGUAGCACACCAGGCUCUCCUUUGUCCACGGGGACUUCCCAGGCCAGAAUACCGGAGUGGGUUGCCAUUCCCUUCUCCAGGGGAUCUUCCAGACGCAGGGAUCGAACCUGUGUCUCCUCCACUGCCAGUGGGUUCUCUGCCACUUGAGCCACCAGGGAAGUCCUGCCAAAAGUUUCCAACCCCCUCUCCUGGUUAACUGUGGUGCGGUAUUUCAGAUUCAUCUCCUGAGACCAUGGGGCUGGGAACACAGCUGUUCCUCAAACAAUACCGUUUGGUUAUGGAGAGAAACCAAAGCAAGCUGCUCCACAAGGUUAGAUGUACCCUACUCACCAUCUGAGAACAGUCUUUUAAGCCAACAGACGAGCCACGUGUUCCCAGAGACACCCAGCGUGGAGGGCAGUGGGGCUCCCCGCCCGGGGGACCACGACCAACACAGAGCCCUCGGGCUUGGGUGUGGAGUCCCGCGCUCACCAGGAACAGACCCACGUCCUCCAGGAUGACGAGAGGUGGGAGAAGACGGAGAUCGUGACUCGAGGGGACUCUCGGCCUCCACCCGGGCGAGCUGUCCCAGCCUGUUCAAGCGGUGACGAUGGGGGCACCGACUGCGAGCCUGCACUCCCCCGGUGCUGGGCAGGGAGCUCUGUGAUGGGCAUCACGUUCUAGCCCCAGGCAGCUCUACAGGCUGGGGAUGGUUGCCAUCCCCACCUACAGAGGAGCCCACUUCAUACCAGAGCUCACACGCCACUCCUCCGGGGCCACAUCGACUGACCCCAGGAACCCAGAGCAGCUGCAAUAGGAAGCCGCCUUCCUGUGCCCGCGCUCCCGUCUGCACACCAUGCACCCCGCGCCUCCCGGGCAGCGGAGUCGCCUCAGGGGCCCCCUCCCUUCCUCCCAGCCGGGCCUGGCUGAACCCCCGUGUGCGGCCCUGACAUGGCCCAAGAUGAAAUGUAGUCACAGGCUGUCAGGCGCUCACCCGGGAAGUGUAAGGAAGAGAUUUUCCCACUGUUGAUUUAGGCAGGCCACUAAAUUGAAAUUAUAUCCAUUUGGAUUAACAAAACUGAAGACUCAGCGCCACCUCAGAAGAGCCAAGAGCCAAUGACCCCUAACGAAGCCAUCGCCUGAUUUAAAGUGCCACCUCCAUCCGCCAGACUGGACCAGCCAGGAAUCCACUGCUCCUAAACAACACGGACGUUUUCCAAAGUGUGAGUGGAACUACAAGACCAGGGAAACCCAAGCAAUCUCCAGCUUAUGAAUUCACAGAUGUGCAAAUGGGUGUGGCCUUUUGGAGGGUGCCACCUGACAUGUUCCAGCCGGUGUGCAGAGGAGACUGCCCCAUCUCCCCUUCUCCUGCCCCCCACCCCCGGCCCCGAUUCAUUGUCAACAAACAUCCCUACAAAUGCCUAACCACUGACGUGUCCAGACAGCGCACACUUAGAUACAGGCAAAUUCCUCCUGUAGGGAUCAAAGUGUAACUUCCUUCACAGCCCUCAGGAGGUUUGCUAACGCACAGGCUGUCCUCAGGAUUGGUUACAGGAGGGAAAUCCAGACUCAACUUCUUAAACAGAAACAGGGAGGAGGGCCAGGAAAGAGGCCAGAAAAGUCGGCGACAGUGCACUGGAGAAUCCCUAGGAUCACGCUCAGUCCUGAGCUUGAUGGAAGAGAAGGUGUACCUUCCGCAGUGUGCAGGGGCGUUCACCUCUUGCUAAGAGAGUCACGAGGGUGGAGGACCUCAGAGGUCCCUUCCCAGUGUCUGUCUCUCCCGUCCUUCCCCGGGUGGCACAGGACGCAGUCUGGGAGAGCUCCAUGGCAGGUGCUCUGGAGGAGAGUGAAGCCGUGGGUCAUGCCAGCCCAUCACCACCAACGCAACUGGUCCUGGCACAGGACACAGCCCCAGGAAGCAGAUGCCCAUCUAGGGAGACGUCUGGGGCGAGGCCACACAGGGGACAGAGGUUCCAGGGAGCCGCGUACGUUCACAGGCCUCUGCUGGGAGAGAAGCCCGAUGACAUGGACGCUUUCCCGUUUGCAGUCCAGGAACCCCAAAUCCUCAUCAGGCUACAAAAAUCACGUGGUAUCCUUGACAAAAGUCACUCAUCUCUAGCAAGAUCAUCAAGGAGGCUGAAGAGACUGACUUGAAGACCAGGGAGGAAUGAGUUGGGAAGUUAGGAGAACAGCUGCUACGAUGCUCCGAGAAAUCUGUGGAAGCAAGCCCAGGGACCAGUGGGCUCAGGAUGGAAAGCUGGGAAGGCUUUGUGAAGGCAGGAGAACAAAUGUCUUCAUGAGCCUAAGUUAGGGGAGGGAGAGGCAGCCACUUUCAGCCAUUCGCAGAGGCCCAGGGCUGUGUUUGUUCUGGAGAGCAAGGCUCCAGAGGAUUUUUUGCUUAGUCUCAGCAGCAGCAGUGCAGGGAAGAGUGACCUCGGGAGGUUUUCAGGACUCUGUUUUCAAUGGGAUGACCUUUUCUCAACUUGCCUUGACAUCAACGAGGCCCUUUCCAUACCCCUUACAUGUUCCAGGAUCCUUGCCCAAAGUGUUACAAGGAUUCCAUGACAGACGGAUGGCUGGUCUCGCGAGAGAGUGGAGGUGGAAUACUUAGAAUGGUUUCCUUUUUCUGAGACCUGCUGGUAUUGUGACAUCCCAGAUGUGCUCCGCUGGAGCAGGAGGUCGUCCAGAGGAGGGAAGGGAAAAGGAACGACUGAGUACAGGCCAGGUUACUCUGCAAUGGAUCUUAGAACUCUACCACCAAAAUACACAUGGUUCUCCUACCUGGGACGAAUCUGAUGGCCCAUCCCUGAAAUUUUCCAUCCCGGCCACCUGGACAAGACUGAAGGACUGCUGAGUGUUUAUAGAAAGCUCAGAGAAGAUAUUUAGCCUGUGUUAAUUUGUAACAUUUUACAUUUUUACUUCUUUGACCCACAUUCUAGCUAGCUCUGUAAUACUGUACAUAAGUGUAUGCCUCCGCAUUUGCCAUGUAUACUGAAAUAAACCUUUGAAACUAU